RNAcentral lists this ribosomal RNA (465 nucleotides) under uncultured bacterium. RNAcentral describes it as "partial 16S ribosomal RNA". It matches the Rfam family "Bacterial small subunit ribosomal RNA", at positions 28 to 507 of the family's 1533-position model. The record is from RNAcentral.
GACGGACGCUGGCGGCGUGCUUAACACAUGCAAGUCGAACGGAAAGGCCCCAGCUUGCUGGGGUACUCGAGUGGCGAACGGGUGAGUAACACGUGGGUGAUCUGCCCUGCACUCUGGGAUAAGCCUGGGAAACUGGGUCUAAUACCGGAUAGGACCGUGCUUUAGUGUGUGCGGUGGAAAGUUUUUCGGCGCAGGAUGAGCCCGCGGCCUAUCAGCUUGUUGGUGGGGUAAUGGCCUACCAAGGCGGCGACGGGUAGCCGGCCUGAGAGGGUGUACGGCCACAUUGGGACUGAGACACGGCCCAGACUCCUACGGGAGGCAGCAGUGGGGAAUAUUGCACAAUGGGCGCAAGCCUGAUGCAGCGACGCCGCGUGGGGGAUGACGGCCUUCGGGUUGUAAACCCCUUUCGGCAGGGACGAAGCUUUUGUGACGGUACCUGCAGAAGAAGCACCGGCUAACUACGUG